Oryzias latipes (Japanese medaka) is the source of this 712-nucleotide non-coding RNA. NCBI's taxonomy places the organism in Eukaryota, Metazoa, Chordata, Actinopteri, Beloniformes, Adrianichthyidae. The record is from the annotation of a RefSeq genome assembly.
AUGAGUGUGAUGUGCGUCCUCAUCUGGACUCUCCUCUGCUGCUGCUUCACAGAGUCCAGAGGACAGGUCACAGUGACUCAGCCUGGAGCAGUGAGCUCUGCUGUGGGAGGAAAUGUCUCCAUCUCAUGUAGGACCAGUCGGGAUGUUUAUGUUUAUAACAGCAAUCACCUUUUAGCCUGGUACCAACAGAAAGAUGGAGAAUCUCCUAAACUACUCAUUUACUAUGCUAGCUAUCGACAAUCAGGGAUUCCAAGUCGUUUUACAGGCAGUGGAUCAAACUCUGAUUUCACUCUGACCAUCAGUGGAAUUCAGGCUGAAGAUGCAGCAGUUUAUUACUGUCAGAGUUUUCACUACAUCAACAGUCAGGAUGUGUUCACUCAGUGAAAAAGAGUCAAACAAAAACCUCCCUCAUUCUGGCUGAACAGAAACUGAACCGAUACACUUCAAUGAAGACACACACACACCCGCACACGCAUACACACACACACUCGACACAUGGGCGAGGCAGGCAGGAAUUGAACCUGCAAUCUCCCGAUGGGGGGGUCGACCACCCUACCACUGCACCUCGGGCGGCCCACACCUUUUACUAUGCCACAAUGUCACGAGUAACUGCAUUGAAACAUCCCUCUCUCUUGUUUCCAGCCAACAAAAAACAGCAACUGCCCCGAACCCUGACAGAUCUAGAGAAGAUCUGUAUGGAGGAAUGGGCCAA